RNAcentral lists this long non-coding RNA (532 nucleotides) under Mytilus galloprovincialis (Mediterranean mussel). Lineage: Eukaryota; Metazoa; Mollusca; Bivalvia; Mytilida; Mytilidae. The record is from RNAcentral.
CAGGCUGUUGAAGCUUUAAUACCAGAAAUAUAUCUAAUAUAUAUAUAUCCUGCCUUUUUCAUGAUAUUUCUAUUGUUCGGGAAAGAAUAAGCGACCUUUUCGAUUUUAUUCUAGAUAUAGGAAAGUUUGUACUUUUUUGCAGGUCCAUUUCCAUUAGCAACAACUAAUAUAGAUUACAUUACAUCAUAGCUUACAGCUUUUGGACAUUGAACACCAUCUUUAAUUCCAAGAACUAUUUUGAAAUCAUUUCCAUCUGAAGAUAUUAAGAUUAUGCUGAAUCCCGGGAGGCAACAAAUAUAUUACCAAAAUUGUCUGUGCAUAUGUUCCUAGGCCCUUUCAUGACAUUGGGCGAAAAUUUCCAUUUUAGCUCGCCAUCACUACUUCGACAAUGUAGAAUGUUAUUUUGAUAAUCGGAAAUAAGUGUUUUUCCUUCCUUUAUAUGCACAUAGUUUAAAUGUUUUAUAUCAGUCGGGAAAAUUUUCAGAAUCCUCCCAGAACUACAGCUUAUGAAAUAGGCACUGGCUACGGUUAC